This 482-nucleotide ribosomal RNA is filed under the name uncultured bacterium. RNAcentral describes it as "partial 16S ribosomal RNA". It matches the Rfam family "Bacterial small subunit ribosomal RNA", at positions 28 to 523 of the family's 1533-position model. The record is from RNAcentral.
AGUGAACGUUGGCGGCGUGGAUUAGGCAUGCAAGUCGAGCGAGAACCGUAGCAAUACGGGGACAGCGGCGAAAGGGACAGUAAUGUGUAGGUACCUACCCCGGGGUCUGGGAUAGCUGCGGGAAACUGCAGGUAAUACCGGAUAAUGUCUUCGGACCAAAGGUGUGAUUCCACCUUGGGAGGGGCCUGCAUCCUAUUAGCUUGUUGGCGGGGUAACGGCCCACCAAGGCAACGAUGGGUAGCGGGUGUGAGAGCACGACCCGCGUCAUUGGGACUGAGAUACUGCCCAGACACCGACGGGUGGCUGCAGUCGAGGAUCUUCGGCAAUGGGCGAAAGCCUGACCGAGCGACGCCGCGUGCGGGAUGAAGGCCUUCGGGUUGUGAACCGCUGUCGUAGAGGAGGAAAUGCAGGGGGGUUCUCCCUUCUGUUUGACCUAUUCUAGGAGGAAGGACGGGCUAAGUUCGUGCCAGCAGCCGCAGUAA